CCUACGGGUGGCAGCAGUGGGGAAUAUUGGACAAUGGGCGAAAGCCUGAUCCAGCCAUGCCGCGUGUGUGAAGAAGGCCUUCGGGUUGUAAAGCACUUUCAGUGGGGAAGAAAGCCUUGGGGCUAAUACCCUCGAGGAAGGACAUCACCCACAGAAGAAGCACCGGCUAACUCCGUGCCAGCAGCCGCGGUAAUACGGAGGGUGCGAGCGUUAAUCGGAAUUACUGGGCGUAAAGCGCGCGUAGGCGGUCUGAUAAGCCGGUUGUGAAAGCCCCGGGCGCAACCUGGGAACGGCAUCCGGAACUGUCAGGCUAGAGUGCAGGAGAGGAAGGUAGAAUUCCCGGUGUAGCGGUGAAAUGCGUAGAGAUCGGGAGGAAUACCAGUGGCGAAGGCGGCCUUCUGGACUGACACUGACGCUGAGGUGCGAAAGCGUGGGUAGCAAACAGGAUUAGAUACCCGGGUAGUC
This 465-nucleotide ribosomal RNA is filed under the name Vreelandella stevensii. RNAcentral describes it as "partial 16S ribosomal RNA". It matches the Rfam family "Bacterial small subunit ribosomal RNA", at positions 338 to 795 of the family's 1533-position model. Lineage: Bacteria; Pseudomonadati; Pseudomonadota; Gammaproteobacteria; Oceanospirillales; Halomonadaceae. The record is from RNAcentral.